RNAcentral lists this ribosomal RNA (346 nucleotides) under uncultured bacterium. RNAcentral's name for it is "partial 16S ribosomal RNA". It matches the Rfam family "Bacterial small subunit ribosomal RNA", at positions 338 to 676 of the family's 1533-position model. The record is from RNAcentral.
CCUACGGGUGGCUGCAGUGGGGAAUAUUGCGCAAUGGGCGAAAGCCUGACGCAGCGACGCCGCGUGAGAGAUGAAGGUCUUCGGAUUGUAAAACUCUGGCAGCAGGGAAGAACGGUAAAUGGGCUAAGCAGCAGUGAAUUGACGGUACCAGCAAAGGAAGCACCGGCUAACUCCGUGCCAGCAGCCGCGGUCAUACGGAGGGUGCGAGCGUUAAUCGGAAUUACUGGGCGUAAAGCGCUCGUAGGCGGUAUGGCAAGUCAAGGGUGAAAUCCCCGCCCUCAACUUGGGAACUGCCUUUGAAACUGGCAAACUGGAGUGUGUGAGAGGGUAGUGGAAUUCCCGGUGU